CUCCCCUGCCCCAUCGGCGCCCCACACCAUCACCAUACCCCCAAGCCCCGCCGCCCACAACCCCUCCGGAGAGCCGGUGACCGCGGGGCGGACCCGACAACCGCGGCGCCCCACCCCACCACCACCACCACCCUCCCGUCCCUUCCCCUCCUCCGCCCCACCUGCCUCCCCUGACCCGCCUUCCUAUCCCGCCCGCCGCCGCCGCACAGGGCCGUAGCCCCCGCCCAGCCAACUACCUCCGGCGGCCAUGCCCCGCCCGGCAACCACCGGAUCCGGUGGGAUCCCGCUCCACCUCCCCUCAUCUCCCGCCUUUUACCACGCCGUCGCGCCGAACGGAUGGAAGGUAUCCGAUGGAGCGCCAUCUUCCUCCUGCGCCAGCUCCCUCCCAUGGCCGGCCCGAUAUGGGCUGGAUCUCUUCUCCUAGGACGGCAACGAUGUGCCAGGAGGUACACGGUGGCGACGGCAGUAGGGAUUGUGCGUGCAGUCCGGCGCCCGUGGAUUUGCAGCUCGGCUGUGUGAGAUGCGGUUGUGGGUGUUAAUGUCAAGCAGUUCGUGGGCACGCCGGCAAUGACUGCAGCAACGGCUCUGCUUCCAGCGAGCUCAACCGGUCGUCCGCCGGCGGGAUCCUCAGUUCGGCGAUGCGUAGACGUACAGUGCGGUGGCGCUGACAAAAACGACGAGGAGGACGAUGGUGUGUGACUUGUGGUUCGCGGGAACUGGUGACCCCCCAUCUUGCCAAGAUCCCUCCGCCGCCCCUUCCCUUCCCUCCCUCCUAGGUGUGCAGAACGGUUUUCGUUCAGUGCAGUAAAAUUUCUAAUGCAGCUCAUUAAUUCCUCUUUGCAGUUUGUUUGGUGCCCCCGCAUGAGGUUCAACCAACUUAUCUACUUGCAGUUCGAAAACUGGUCUACAAACGAAAAGGCAUGCAUGAUUUGUGGACGACUAAGAAUUUUACCUGUGUGCAGCUCUACUUGCAGUACUUGCGGCUCGACUGUGGAGUUCGCUUGGCAUUUUCGUUCAGUCCACUGUGUAAAAAAUGAACUAGAUGUCUCCGCGGCUUGGAGUGAGACCAGUGGCGGAGCUACAAGGAAUUUCCUGGGCGGGCCAAGCCAAAGGAAGCCUAAUACUUUUGCCCUUGUAGUCCAGUUUUACUUACCUUUAUACCUAAGUGGUUUUGGCUGAUGCUGGGCGGGCUAUGGCACUGUUUUGUUCCUAUGUAACUCCGCCGUGAAGAACUACCUCAAGAUAUUCAGAAUCCCAGUCAAGUUGUCAGCGCGGAGAGAAAAAACGGCGUCAACAACAACAAAAAUGCAUAUGCAGGGGGUGGCCGGAGCUGGAGUGGAGUUGCUCUCCUCCAUGGCGCUCCACCUCGGUGGCUGUGCGGGUCAUAGGAGUUUUUUUUUUUCCUCUUUUUGGAUUUUGGAUGUGCAGUGCACCCGGAUCACGCGAGCAGUGCACCCGGAUCACGCGAGCAGUUAAUUGCAGUGUGAUUACAGUUUUGGUAGCGCGGGUAGCAUUUUGUUCUUUUACCUUUAUAGAAAAAAGUUUCAUCUAGUCAGCCUUUUUUUAUUUCAAAUAUGCAGUUCAGUGGCAUGGUGUAGUUUGCAGGUGCAGUACGCCGCUGGGGUGUGAUCUAGUACAUCACGGCUAGUCCUCAAUUGCUGUUCGACUGGUGACAUUGUGGAUUUUGUGUGUAUGGCUGUGUGUGUGUCUGUUUAAAAAUAAUGAAAAGAUAUAGAGUAUAUGUUUUGAA
Long non-coding RNA from Triticum aestivum (bread wheat), 1750 nucleotides. RefSeq lists it as uncharacterized. The transcript is spliced from 3 exons. NCBI's taxonomy places the organism in Eukaryota, Viridiplantae, Streptophyta, Magnoliopsida, Poales, Poaceae. The record is from RefSeq and is a predicted model, not a curated record.